UCCCUGGUGGUCUGGUGGUUAAGACUUUGCACUUCUACUGCAAAGGCACAGGUUCGAUCCCUGGUCGGGGAA
Molecule: non-coding RNA, 72 nt
Organism: Capra hircus (goat)
Lineage: Eukaryota; Metazoa; Chordata; Mammalia; Artiodactyla; Bovidae
Source: the annotation of a RefSeq genome assembly